Molecule: ribosomal RNA, 643 nt
Filed under: uncultured bacterium
Lineage: Bacteria
Description: bacterial SSU rRNA
Rfam family: Bacterial small subunit ribosomal RNA
Source: RNAcentral
AGAGUUUGAUCCUGGCUCAGGACGAACGCUGGCGGCGUGCCUAAUACAUGCAAGUCGAGCGAGCGGAACCAACAGAUUUACUUCGGUAAUGACGUUGGGAAAGCGAGCGGCGGAUGGGUGAGUAACACGUGGGGAACCUGCCCCUAAGUCUGGGAUACCAUUUGGAAACAGGUGCUAAUACCGGAUAAUAAAGCAGAUCGCAUGAUCAGCUUUUGAAAGGCGGCGUAAGCUGUCGCUAAGGGAUGGCCCCGCGGUGCAUUAGCUAGUUGGUAAGGUAACGGCUUACCAAGGCGACGAUGCAUAGCCGAGUUGAGAGACUGAUCGGCCACAUUGGGACUGAGACACGGCCCAAACUCCUACGGGAGGCGGCAGUAGGGAAUCUUCCACAAUGGACGCAAGUCUGAUGGAGCAACGCCGCGUGAGUGAAGAAGGUUUUCGGAUCGUAAAGCUCUGUUGUUGGUGAAGAAGGAUAGAGGUAGUAACUGGCCUUUAUUUGACGGUAAUCAACCAGAAAGUCACGGCUAACUACGUGCCAGCAGCCGCGGUAAUACGUAGGUGGCAAGCGUUGUCCGGAUUUAUUGGGCGUAAAGCGAGCGCAGGCGGAAAAAUAAGUCUAAUGUGAAAGCCCUCGGCUUAACCGAGG